RNAcentral lists this long non-coding RNA (324 nucleotides) under Phaseolus vulgaris (common bean). Its description in RNAcentral is "long non-coding RNA (PVUL_LNC002599)". Lineage: Eukaryota; Viridiplantae; Streptophyta; Magnoliopsida; Fabales; Fabaceae. The record is from RNAcentral.
UUACAAUCAUGGGAUAGAUUUAUCAUUCAAAUACCUGAAAUUGUACUUAAGCUCAAGAAGAAAUGCGGCACAACAACUAGUACAAGCUUGGCACAACUUAAUAACAUUGUAGCAUAGUAAGAAUCCUAAUAAUUCAACAACAGAAAUCUAGGACAACAGUAGACCUGAUUUGCUAGCAUAAUAGCCUUACAAAUUAGACAUAAUUUGGACAUCUCCUUUCACUAAAAAAAUAAUGUAAUUUCUAUAGGAUGUUGAAGCAUUCUUGAAGAUUCUAAACUACUGCAAAAUGAAUAUAUGUUUUAAUUUAUUUCAAGAAUGCCAAUU